RNAcentral lists this long non-coding RNA (309 nucleotides) under Homo sapiens (human). Its description in RNAcentral is "HSALNT0214733". Lineage: Eukaryota; Metazoa; Chordata; Mammalia; Primates; Hominidae. The record is from RNAcentral.
CCGAGAUGCUCACGUUUUGUGGGGUGGGAGAGUGGCCAGAGAUGGGGUGAUGAUUAUGAUGAAGAAGGUGAAGAAGCAGAUGAGGAAGGGGAAGAAGGAGGAGAUGAGGAAAAUGAUCCAGACUAUGACCCAAAGAAGGAUCAAAACCCAACAGAGUGCAAGCAGCAGUGAAGCAGGAUGGUCUACCUUCCGCUUCCCUGGAAAGGAUGAAUUUACAUCAUUUGACAAGCCUAUUUUCAAGUUAUUUGUUGUUUGUUUGCUUGUUUUUGUUUUUGCAGCCUAAAAUAAAAAUUUCAAAUACAAAAAAAA